RNAcentral lists this non-coding RNA (31 nucleotides) under Rattus norvegicus (Norway rat). The record is from RNAcentral. Lineage: Eukaryota; Metazoa; Chordata; Mammalia; Rodentia; Muridae.
UGUGACUGUUAGCCCAUAUCUGUGAUUCACU